Molecule: unclassified non-coding RNA, 3333 nt
Filed under: Leishmania donovani
Lineage: Eukaryota; Euglenozoa; Kinetoplastea; Trypanosomatida; Trypanosomatidae
Description: gene:LdHU3.28.0630(CDS-product:propionyl-coa_carb oxylase_beta_chain_putative)
Source: RNAcentral
GGAGCCACACCACGUCAGAACCGUGGCCGAAAGAAACAGCAGCACAGGCAGCCACAACUGGGAAAAAAGAAACGACACGCGGAUCCAUCCAAUAAGGGCUAAACCGCCCUCCCUCCCCCUCUUACGCAGGUGCGCACAACACAUCAUCUUCCUUUUCCGUUUCUCUUUCUCGUUUUUUUUUCUUUCUCGAUUCCCUGCAGGCUUUUACUUGACCCCCUCACGCUCUGUGUCUCUCUUUCUCGCGUCUUUGUCGGUUUUGUAGGCGAGGGAGUGUGUGCGUGUGUGUGUCGGACUUGAUUUCAGUCUCUGCACACCUCGCUCCUCCCUUUUUUCUUUCGGGUUCUUCUUCGCCCUCCGUCGAUCUUUUUGCAUGUGAGCGCAACAACGAAAAGAGUAGAAACGCUGAAGCACUCACGUACCAGCGUUAAAACAGACAAAACAAAACGAUGCGCCGGUUGCGAUGUGGGGUGGUUUUCGCGGCCAUGGGUGUUGGCGGGAUGAGCUCCACGCAGCUAACAAAGGAAUUUGACCGCCACACACACAAGCCGACCACCGCUGAGAAGUCACGUCACAAGAAGAAGCGCCUGACUGCCAUGGAGCGCGUGCAGCUCUUCUGCGACCCCGGCACGUUCCGCGAGCGUGAUGCCCUGGUUGAGCACGAGUGCCACAAUUUCGGCAUGGAGAAGAGGAGGGUGCCUGGUGACGGCUUCGUUACGGGUGCGGGCAAAGUCUUUGGCCGCCCUGUGUUUCUCUUCUCGCACGACUUUACGGUGUUCGGCGGCUCUCUCUCCGGCUCCAACGCCGCCAAAGUGGUGCGCAUCAUGGAGGAGGCCGCCAAGAUCGGCGUGCCAGUGAUCGGCUUCAACGACUCCGGCGGCGCUCGCAUCCAAGAGGGUGUGGACUCGCUGGCUGGCUAUGCUGACAUUUUCCUCCGCAACACGCUCUUCUCUGGGGUCAUUCCACAGAUCUCCGUGAUCAUGGGGCCUUGUGCCGGCGGUGCCGUCUACUCGCCCGCCAUCACCGACUUCACGUUCAUGGUGGACAACUCGUCCUAUAUGUUUGUGACGGGUCCGGAGGUGGUGAGUGCCGUGGGUGGAAAGCUAGUGACCAAGGACGAGCUUGGCGGUCCGCGUGUGCACGCGACCAAGUCGGGUGUGUCGGCGGGUACAUUCCCGAACGACAUCGUUGCGAUGGCGCAGCUCCGCCGCCUGUACUCGUAUCUGCCAUUGAGCAACCGCGACUCUGCCCCGGUUGUGCCGACGGCUGACAACCGCCACCGUGAUGUCUCCUCGCUGAACACGGUCGUGCCGGUGGAGGUGAAGGAGGCGUACGACAUGCGCGACGCUAUCUUCCCUGUGAUCGACCAAGACUCCUUCUUCGAGAUACAGCCGCAGUUUGCCAAGAACAUCAUCUGCGGUUUCGCCCGCGUUGAGGGCCGCUCCGUGUGCAUCAUUGCGAACCAGCCGAAGGUGCAGGCUGGGGUGCUCGACAUCGACUCCUCCGUCAAGGCUGCGCGCAUGGUGCGUUUUGCCGAUGCCUUCAACAUCCCGAUCAUCACCUUCGUAGACGUCCCCGGAUUCUUGCCUGGCGUGCAGCAGGAAUACGGCGGCAUCAUUCGCCACGGUGCGAAGCUGCUGUACGCCUACGCUGAGGCGACUGUCCCGAAGGUGACAAUCAUUACGCGCAAGGCGUACGGUGGCGCCUACGAUGUGAUGAGCUCGAAACACCUCCGUGGCGACAGCAACUACGCCUGGCCGCGCGCCGAGAUUGCCGUCAUGGGCGCCGCCGGCGCAUGCAAGCUUCUGUACUCGAAGGAGACGGCGGAGCAGCAGGCGCAGCGUAUCGCCGAUUACGAGAAGGCCUUCUGUACACCGCUGUCGGCCGCUCGAAAGGGAUUCGUGGAUGCGGUGAUUGACCCCAGCGAGACCCGCAUGCGCGUGUGCGAGGACCUGGAGCGCCUGUCCCGCAAGCAGCUCCGCAAUCCAUGGAAGAAGCACGGUAACAUUCCGCUGUAACACCGCUCUCUACCUCUUUUCUGUGGCCCUCUCGAGUCUCGAUGUGUCUGGCGGCUGGCGAAGACGCCGUAGCGUUUCACGAAACGCUCGAGCGGACGCUCAUGCGCGCGUGGGUGCUUUCGCUUGUGCUGUUUGCCUGUUCUGUGUGUGUGCGUGUGUGCUGAUGGGCCUUCAUGAACGGCUGGCUCGAUACCUGUCCAGAGAACGAAAGUGUGUGUGUGAGAGAGAGAGGAAUGCACAACAGGUGCACGUGCGUCCGACGGAGAUGCUCCCUUCUGCGUUUCGUCCCCCCUUUUUCUUUGUCCUCCGGUGUGCUUCGGUGUGCGGUAUUGAGUGCGAUCCGUGAAAGUGUGUGUGUGUGUGUGUCUUCACGGCAGCUGUCCUGUUUUUGGUUUCCUGUUACAUUGCUGCUCUGCUGCUCUUACUGCUUCUUUUUUUUUCUCCGUUCCCUAACUAGGACACGCAGACAAGACAGGUGCGAUUAGGUUCAGCCCCUGACUCUUUCCCGAAGACGGAGUUGAUAGCCAAGGCGCCACUAUACAAGAGAGGCUCCGUUAGAGGUGUACGACUGUCCAUUAUCUCGGACGCAGUCGGAGGAGCUCAGUUUGUGAUGUGCGCUUGUGCAUGAAUAUGUGUGUAUCUCUGUCUGUGUCCGUUUUUGACGAGAGACUGCGCUUCUUUGACUCUCGCGCCAGCACAUACGUGCACGGGAAGUGUUCUGUUUUGCUUCUGUUGCUGCACCCCACCUCCCGCUUCGCCUCAUCCGCCAAGUUGGGUUGUUAGUCUUUUCUUUUUUCUUUUCACCAUCACCCCUCCCCCUUUGCAUCUCACUCACACGCUAGCGUAAGCAUGUGAGCAGGUGGAAGCGCCAAAACACUCAACCUCCUCCACCUCAACCGCAAAACAUAAAAAAUGAGCCAAAAGCGCGAUGAAACUCUUUUACGCCAAAGUACACAAGAUGACGAGGAACACGAAACUGUCGGAGCGACACCUCUCUCUCUCUUGUAGCGUGCAUGCGAACGACUUCCGAGAACGAAAGGCAGAACAGGCGAAGAGCAGACGUACUGAAUGCAGCGGCAGAUACACGGUAAAACGAAAAGAAACGCCGUCGCGGGCAACAGUGCCCCUUUUCUCCACCUCACCCCUUCUUCUCUUUUACUCGGCCAACAUGCCUGUCUCUCUACAGCUCUGCCCCUUUGUAGGUGUUGCGUGUUCAGCUUUAUGAGGCUCGUUGCGUGUAUCUGUGUGUGUGUGCUUUCUUGUGAGUCGUGCUUUUCAUCUAUCGCGUCACCCUCCCUCUCCUCCUUCUCCUCCACAG